Molecule: ribosomal RNA, 397 nt
Filed under: uncultured bacterium
Lineage: Bacteria
Description: bacterial SSU rRNA
Rfam family: Bacterial small subunit ribosomal RNA
Source: RNAcentral
AACGAACGCUGGCGGCAUGCCUAACACAUGCAAGUCGAACGAAGCCUUCGGGCUUAGUGGCGCACGGGUGCGUAACGCGUGGGAAUCUGCCCCUCGGUUCGGAAUAACAGUUAGAAAUGACUGCUAAUACCGGAUGAUGACGAAAGUCCAAGGAUUUAUCGCCGAGGGAUGAGCCCGCGUAGGAUUAGCUUGUUGGUGGGGUAAUGGCCCACCAAGGCGACGAUCCUUAGCUGGUCUGAGAGGAUGAUCAGCCACACUGGGACUGAGACACGGCCCAGACUCCUACGGGAGGCAGCAGUGGGGAAUAUUGCGCAAUGGGGGGAAACCCUGACGCAGCCACGCCGCGUGAGUGAUGAAGGCCUCGGGUUGUAAAGCUCUGUCGGGAGGGACGAAGGGG